Cydia strobilella is the source of this 6293-nucleotide long non-coding RNA. RefSeq lists it as uncharacterized. The record is from RefSeq and is a predicted model, not a curated record. The transcript has 4 exons. Lineage: Eukaryota; Metazoa; Arthropoda; Insecta; Lepidoptera; Tortricidae.
CCCAUGCGCUGGUCGUGAUGCUCGCGGCGGCUACUGCGGUUAUCACGCGGAUGCAGCUCUGAAACAGCUCGCAAUGCACGCAGUGAUGUGCCGUCCGCAUCCCGGAGCGGCGUGCGGGGCCGGUAUCUAGUGUGAAGAUCGCCUUCGUCGCUUGCGUGCUCUGUUCUGCCGUCGUCCCCGUGCUAUCAGGAAAUCUACAGAGAGGAGUCGAAAAUGCAGAAAUGACAGCUCGCACACAAAUGCCUAAAGCUCUGAAGCUUGUAAGCUGCUUAGAAAGUCGCCCAAAACAUAUUGGCAUAGAGUUAUGGAGCCCGUCUGCAAAAAGGUAAGAAAAUUGUGAUAUUAACUUCUAAUAUUUUCACAUCUUUAUUUGAUUCAGAUAUUUCUAUUUAGAUGUAACUGCCAGUAGAGAGGUGAUGUCUCAUUAGAUGUAACCCAAUGAAAGAUUUCUCUCAUUAGAACUCCUAUAUGACUAGUGCUGCAGACUGUUAUGGGAUGCCUGCAAUUUUUAAUUAUAAACCGACACAUGGAGCCGAGGUUUUCUUAAGAGACGCAAGGGGUACCUACUUAAAACGUGUACAAUUUCUAAUGGGCAGGCUAUGUGCAUGUGGCACCCUUGGAGUUGCAAAUAUACAUAGGCUUUGGUAACUACUUACUAUCAGCAAAGAUAGAUAUAACUCCGUAAUAGAUGGAUACAGUCUAAGGAAAAAACGUGCCUCGAAAAUCAAGAAAAUUUGAUUCUCGUUCAGAGGGCGCUACUGAAUUUACUGGGGUUACAAAAUUUACUAUGACAGUACCGCUCUAGUAUAAGUUACUCUAUGCUAUCAGGAAGGACGGGAUGUAACACCUUCCUUUAAUCUAUGAUCAGCGUGUGGUGCUAUGUGUUUGAUGAUUUUAUUUAUAGUUAGGUUCAUAUUAGCUAGAGUGAGGUUUUCUAUGGCAACAUUAAAAAUAAUAGAGAUAAUUCAAGCAAAUGAAAGAGAGAGAGAGAGAGAGAGAAAAUUUAUUUAACAUCACAAAACAUUAUUAAACACACAUCUUGAAAAAUAUGUACCUACUUAAUAGUUUACAACUUUACAUACUAAAGUGCACUGUCUUCACAAUCUAUUGACUCGCACAUAUUGUAUACUAUUGUAAUAUUUAUGAUGUCACAGUAAUAGCUGGUCUUAUGUCUCUGACGAAAGAGUGUUAGGAGUUUUCCAGCUUCUUUCAUUAAUCAACACUCUAUGAUCUAUGAUAGUACUGCCUAUUCUGAUAAACUGUAAACUCAAUUUUUGGGGUUCCGUACCUCAAAAGGAAAAAACGGAACCCUUAUAGGACCACUUUGUUGUCCGUCUGUCCGUCCGUCCGUCCGUCUGUCAAGACCCUCUAUCUUACGUUUUUUGAUAAUUUUAUUUUUAGUUUUAAUCAUGUGUCGAUAGAUGGCAGUGAAUUUACUGUGGCUACAAAAUUUACUAUGACAGUAACCGCUCUAUCCUAUUAUAUCCUCUUCGGUAUGAGGUUUUUUUAGUAAAAUUUUACACGCUUUUAUUAACCGCCGCCGUCGCAAGAAAGUGCUAUAAGUUUGACCGCUAUGUCGUGUGUGUGUGUGUGUGUGUGUGGCUGUCUGUGAGGCCGUAGCUCUUAAACGGGUGAAGCUAGUUGAUUUUAUGUGCAACGUUGACUUCGUAGUCAAAAUAUUUUAACGACAAGUUUACCACCGAAAAAGUAUAACUACUCUUUUUAAGGUUCCAUAGCCAAAAUGGUAAAAACUUUCUGCACAUCCGUCUGUUUGUCCGUCAGUAUAUCACAGCUAUUUUGCUCACAAACUAUCAAUUAUAUUAAAAUAAUAUUUUAAUGAAGAUAGGUGCCACUUCACAAAACAAAACGGUUUUUAGGGUUCCGUACCCAAAGGGUAAAAACGGGACCCUAUUACUAAGACUCCGCUGUCUGUCUGUCUGUCCGUCCGUCUGUCAACUGGCGUUAUCUCAUGAACCGUGAUAGUUAGACAGCUGAAAUUUUCACAGAUGAUGUAUUUCUGUUGCCGCUAUGGCAACAAAUACUAAAAACAGAAUAAAAUAAAUAUUUAAGUGGGGCUUCCAUACAACAAACGUGAUUUUUUGCUGUCUUUUUCCGUAAUCGUACGGAACCCUUCGUGCGCGAGUCCGACUCGCACUUGGCCGGUUUUUUAUAGAGUGUGGAAGGUGCAUGGAGCAAGCAUUGCAUUUAUUCUUAGUUAGGCAUAUACAUAUUAUAUUGGUUUGAGUGAGGAUUCCUUAGCAAUUAUUAGUAUUUGGUCCUGUGAAGGACUGAUGAUGGAGACCAAUGGUAGCCAUACAGGGACUGUGUGAUGAAACAACACAACCUUAUUGAGGUUUGGCUUUUAGAACUGUUGUUCACUAAUAUAUAUGACUUCAGAAGAACAGAUGUAACAAAUAGAUGUACCUAUCACAUGAACUUCAGUAGGGUGUAGCUAUUAAUUUUCAGGGUUCCGUACCGGAAGGGUGAAAACGGGACCCUAUUACUAAGACUCCACUCGUCUGUCCGUCUUGUCUGUCUGUCUGUCACCAGGCUGUAUCUCAUGAACCGUGAUAGCUAGACUGCUGUAUUUCUGUUGCCGCUAUAACAACAAAUACUAAAAAGUACGGAACCCGAGUCCGACUCGCACUUGUCCGGUUUUUUAUCAACCCAAAUUCUACAGGUUAAAUAACAUAACCAUUCACUUUCUUCUGGUAGCGGUAGCACACUCGUAUUUCCUAAGCUAGGAAAUAGUUUUCACGCAAUAUCCAGCAAUGAACAGCGUAUGUGUUUUUAGGGUUCCGUACCCAAAGGGUAAAAACGGGACCCUAUUAUUAAGACUCCUCUGUUCGUCUGUCUGUCACAAGGCUAUAUCUCAUAAACAGUGAUAGCUAGAAAGUUAAAUUUUCAAUAACAACAAAUACUAAAAAGUACGAAACCCUCGGUGGGCGAGGCCGACUCGCACUUGUUCAGUUUUUUUGUUAAAUAUUACAAGUCUUUUGUAAACCCCCGAAGCAAAAAGAGGGGUGUUAUACUUUUACCGUGUUUGUCUGUAACACCGUGUCUCUUAAACGGGCAAACCGAUCGGACGCAGAUAUUUUAGCACUUGUUCUUCGACAUGUUUCAUCAAAAUAUUCUUUAUUGCACACUUCAACACAAGAAAAUAAUACAGAUAAUACAGUAACUCAAGCAGAGGUAUUAAACAACAGGUGGUCUUAUCGUUAAAAAGCUUUUAUUAGGUUAGUCCAACGACGUGUAAAGCCGCUCAUACCCUCCAGAAUUCAGGGCAUCCAAAGAAAUCCAUUAUUAUCGGCCGCCUUGCCUCCGACUGCCUACAAGAGUGAACGUGGAGUCGUCGCCGCACCGCAUCUUCCGCUACUCACCGGCGGCUGGUUCAAGAACUCUACGAUCCUGCAGGCUCCUGAUAUAAAACUGUCCUUCUCAGGAUAAAUACAACUGCCCUUUUCAGGGCAACAGAAAAACUGUUCUUUUCAGAACAAAUGUCACUGUUUCUAUGACGACACAGCUUCAAGUGUUCUUUUCAGAACACUUGGUUCCUGUUUCUAUGUUUAUACACAGAUCAAUCGAUGCCUCUUUUUAGCGAUAACACCGUUUGGUGCCUCUACCAAAAUUGUUUAUGUUUUUAUACAUGUAUUGUAAACUGUGUGCAAUAAAGAGUAUCGUGUUGAACCACUUGUACCCUCGUAUAUAUUAAGUUAAUGUAAUACUAGGAAUCAUGAUAUUUUAAUAAAAAAGAAUAUGUCAGUUUAUUCUGAUACUUGUACUUGUGUCGCAUUCUUGUUCCCCAUGCGCUGACCGUGAGGCUCGCGAUGUGUGUGAUCGUGUAAGCGAUGUCCCGCUCGCAUCCCGGAGCGGCGUGCGGACCCGCGUCCAAUGUGAAGAUCGCCCACGUCGCCUGCACGCUCUGCUCUGCACUCGACACCAUGCUGACAGCUCUGAAACAGCUCGCAAUGCACGCAGUGAUGUGCCGUCCGCAUCCCGGAGCGGCGUGCGGGGCCGGUAUCUAGUGUGAAGAUCGCCUUCGUCGCUUGCGUGCUCUGUUCUGCCGUCGUCCCCGUGCUAUCAGGAAAUCUACAGAGAGGAGUCGAAAAUGCAGAAAUGACAGCUCGCACACAAAUGCCUAAAGCUCUGAAGCUUGUAAGCUGCUUAGAAAGUCGCCCAAAACAUAUUGGCAUAGAGUUAUGGAGCCCGUCUGCAAAAAGGUAAGAAACUUGUGAUAUUAACUUCUAAUAUUUUCACAUCUUUAUUUGAUUCAGAUAUUUCUAUUUAGAUGUAACUGCCAGUAGAGAGGUGAUGUCUCAUUAGAUGUAACCCAAUGAAAGAUUUCUCUCAUUAGAACUCCUAUAUGACUAGUGCUGCAGACUGUUAUGGGAUGCCUGCAAUUUGUAAUUAUAAACCGACACAUGGAGCCGAGGUUUUCUUAAGAGACGCAAGGGGUGCUAUCAGGAAGGACGGGAUGUAACACCUUCCUUUAAUCUAUGAUCAGCGUGUGGUGCUAUGUGUUUGAUGAUUUUAUUUAUAGUUAGGUUCAUAUUAGCUAGAGUGAGGAUUUCUAUGGCAACAUUAAAAAUAAUAGAGAUAAUUCAAGCAAAUGAAAGAGAGAGAGAGAGAGAAAAUUUAUUUAACAUCACAAAACAUUAUUAAACAUCUUGAAAAAUAUGUACCUACUUAAUAGUUUACAACUUUACAUACUAAAUUGCACUGUCUUCACAAUCUAUUGACUCGCACAUAUUGUAUACUAUUGUAAUUUUUAUGAUGUCACAGUAAUAGCUGGUCUUAUGUCUCUGACGAAAGAGUGUUAGGAGAUUUCCAGCUUCUUUCAUUAAUCAACACUAUGAUCUAUGAUAGUACUGCCUAUUCUGAUAAACUGUAAACUCAAUUUUUGGGGUUCCGUACCUCAAAAGGAAAAAACGGAACCCUUAUAGGACCACUUUGUUGUCCGUCUGUCCGUCCGUCCGUCCGUCCGUCCGUCUGUCUGUCAAGACCCUCUAUCAUACGUUUUUUGAUAAUUUUAUUUUUAGUUUUAAUCGUGUGUCGAUAUAUGGCAGUGAAUUUACUGUGGCUACAAAAUUUACUAUGACAGUAACCGCUCUAUCCUAUUAUAUCCUCUUCGGUAUGAGGUUUUUUUAGUAAAAUUUUACACGCUUUUAUUAACCCCCGCCGUCGCAAGAAAGUGCUAUAAGUUUGACCGCUAUGUCGUGCGUGUGUGUGUGUGUGUGUGUGUGUGUGUGUGUGUGUGUGUGUGUGUGUGUGUGUGUGUGUGUGUGUGUGUGUGUGAGUGUGUGAGUGAGUGCGCGUGCGUGUGUGUGUGUGUGAGUGUGUGUGGCUGACUGUGAGGCCGUCGCUCUUAAACGGUUUAAGCUAGUUGAUUUUAUGUGCAACGCUGACUUUGCACAUAGCCCAUAUUAACACGCUUACAGUAGUCAAAAUAUUUUAACGACAAGUUUACCACCGAAAAAGUAUAACUACUCUUAUUAAGGUUCCAUAGCCAAAAUGGUAAAAACUUUCUGUACAUCCGUCUGUUUGUCCGUCAGUAUGUCACAGCUAUUUUGCUCACAAACUAUCAAUUAUGUUAAAAUAAUAUUUUAAUGAAGAUAGGUGCCACUUCCGUACCCAAAGGGUAAAAACGGGACCCUAUUACUAAGACUCCGCUGUCUGUCUGUCUGUCCGUCCGUCUGUCAACUGGCGUUAUCUCAUGAACCGUGAUAGUUAGACAGCUGAAAUUUUCACAGAUGAUGUAUUUCUGUUGCCGCUAUGGCAACAAAUACUAAAAACAGUAUAAAAUAAAUAUUUAAGUGGGGCUUCCAUACAACAAACGUGAUUUUUUUGCUGUUUUUUUUUCGUAAUGGUACGGAACCCUUCGUGCGCGAGUCCGACUCGCACUUGGCCGGUUUUUUAUAGAGUGUGGAAGGUGCAUGGAGCAAGCAUUUCAUUUAUUCUUAGUUAGGCAUAUACAUAUUAUAUUGGUUUGAGUGAGGAUUCCUUAGCAAUUAUUAGAUUAUUAGUAUUUGGUCCUGUGAAGGACUGAUGAUGGAGACCAAUGGUAGCCAUACAGGGACUGUGUGAUGAAACAACACAACCUUAUUGAGGUUUGGCUUUUAGAACUGUUGUUCACUAAUAUAUAUGACUUCAGAAGAACAGAUGUAACAAAUAGAUGAAUCAUGAACCUAUCACAUGAACUUCAGUAGGGUGUAGCAUUUAAUUUUCAGGGUUCCGUACCGAAAGGGUGAAAACGGAACCCUAUUACUAAGACUCCACUCGUCUGUCCGUCUUGU